This 1052-nucleotide long non-coding RNA is filed under the name Pongo abelii (Sumatran orangutan). RNAcentral describes it as "lincRNA". The record is from RNAcentral. Lineage: Eukaryota; Metazoa; Chordata; Mammalia; Primates; Hominidae.
CCAGGUACUGAGCCCUUCAAUUGAGGUCUAAACCCUCCACUCUCUCCCUCCAGGAUUGCCAAGCCUGUGGUUUCAGUUCCAUGCUCCCAGGUGACACCCUCUGUCUUUGAGUUGUGGGAGCCUUCCUCCUUCAGUCUGCGUGUACUGAAGCCAGUGUUUGCUGUACAGCCUCUCAGCCACAGCAGCCGACAGUGAUGUGCAGGUGCUCACGCCAUCGCCCCAGAGAGCUCCUCCAUUCGCCCCUCCACCCGUAGCCCCUCGAAACCACUGCCCUGCUCCCCGACACGGUAGCACUGUCUUCUCCAAGAUGUCACGUGGCAGCAUCCUUCGGCCUGUGCCCACCGAAACUAGCUUCCUUCACCGGGCAUGUGGCCUGGGAGACCUGGGGCAUUUGGGUGCAUCUUUCCACUGCUGGUUGGUGCCCCCUGUGUGGAAGCAUCCACGUUGGUUCCCACCUCCUCCUGCCGAUGGACAUUUUGUUUUCUUCCAGUUAUUGGCAAUGAGGAAUGAGGCCUAAACACUUGUGUGCAGGUUUGUGUGUGCACGUUUAAGUUUGCUCUUGGACAUUUCAGGAGCGGGGUUGCUGGAUGAUGUGGUAAGGAUGUGCUUAACUUCAUAAGAAACUCCCGGACCACUUUCCAGCAUGACGGGACCCCUCCCAUUCCCACUGCAGCUUAUGAGGGUCCCAGUUCCUCUGCAUCAUCACUAGGACCUGGGUCGGCCUGUGGUUUUUGUCUGUUUUUAGCCAUUUUAAUAGAUUUGCAGAGGUACUGUUGACUGGCAUUUCUCCAGCAUCUCUAUGAUGUUGAGCCUCUUUCUCGGGCAAUAUGCCCUCCUUAUACCUUCUUUGAUGAGGCCUCCAUUCAAAUAUCUGCCCUCUCUUUAAUACUGGGGUUUUUACUUUCUUAUGGUUAAGUUUUGAUGGUUCUUCAUAUAUUCUGCGUGCCAGUACGUUGUGAGAUGUGUGAUUCACAAAUAUUUUUUUCUAGACCGUGGUUUGUGUUUCAUUCUCCUUAGAUUUUUACAUUGCUUUAUAGAAUUAUAAUUUUAAA